ACAGCAGCCGCCGCGGUAAUACGAAGGGGGCUAGCGUUGUUCGGAUUUACUGGGCGUAAAGCGCACGUAGGCGGACUUUUAAGUCAGGGGUGAAAUCCCGGGGCUCAACCCCGGAACUGCCUUUGAUACUGGAAGUCUUGAGUAUGGUAGAGGUGAGUGGAAUUCCGAGUGUAGAGGUGAAAUUCGUAGAUAUUCGGAGGAACACCAGUGGCGAAGGCGGCUCACUGGACCAUUACUGACGCUGAGGUGCGAAAGCGUGGGGAGCAAACAGGAUUAGAUACCCCUGUAGUCCCUGUCUCUUAUAC
This 305-nucleotide ribosomal RNA is filed under the name uncultured bacterium. RNAcentral's name for it is "partial 16S ribosomal RNA". It matches the Rfam family "Bacterial small subunit ribosomal RNA", at positions 508 to 807 of the family's 1533-position model. The record is from RNAcentral.